RNAcentral lists this ribosomal RNA (769 nucleotides) under uncultured bacterium. RNAcentral's name for it is "bacterial SSU rRNA". It matches the Rfam family "Bacterial small subunit ribosomal RNA", at positions 60 to 796 of the family's 1533-position model. The record is from RNAcentral.
AGUCGAACGGGAAGAGAUGAAGAGCUUGCUCUUUAUCGAAUCCAGUGGCAAACGGGUGAGUAACACGUAAACAACCUGCCUUCAGGAUGGGGACAACAGACGGAAACGACUGCUAAUACCGAAUACGUUCCACGGGCCGCAUGACCUGUGGAAGAAAGGGUAGCCUCUACCUGUAAGCUAUCGCCUGAAGAGGGGUUUGCGUCUGAUUAGGCAGUUGGUGGGGUAACGGCCCACCAAACCAACGAUCAGUAGCCGGUCUGAGAGGAUGAACGGCCACACUGGAACUGAGACACGGUCCAGACUCCUACGGGAGGCAGCAGUGGGGAAUCUUCCGCAAUGGACGAAAGUCUGACGGAGCAACGCCGCGUGAGUGAAGACGGCCUUCGGGUUGUAAAGCUCUGUGAUCCGGGACGAAAGAGCCUGAGGUGAAUAGCCUAAGGAAGUGACGGUACCGGAAAAGCAAGCCACGGCUAACUACGUGCCAGCAGCCGCGGUAAUACGUAGGUGGCAAGCGUUGUCCGGAAUUAUUGGGCGUAAAGCGCGCGCAGGCGGCUUCCUAAGUCCAUCUUAAAAGUGCGGGGCUUAACCCCGUGAUGGGAUGGAAACUGGGAAGCUGGAGUAUCGGAGAGGAAAGUGGAAUUCCUAGUGUAGCGGUGAAAUGCGUAGAGAUUAGGAAGAACACCGGUGGCGAAGGCGACUUUCUGGACGAAAACUGACGCUGAGGCGCGAAAGCGUGGGGAGCAAACAGGAUUAGAUACCCUGGUAGUCC